AUGUUGCUUGGCCAUCAAUGUAAACAAAUCUCAUUUAUAAACUCUAACUAUCCCCCACCUUCUUCACUAGAAUAUAUACUGUGAUUUGUACGGUUAUGCCUUCAAUCCCUUUUCCCUGUUUCUUUGUUCCAAUCUUUUAAUCCAGGAAUGUAGUCAUUAAUCAUUUUAUAGUGGCAGCAUUGGAGAAAAGAUGAGACCAACAUCUUAUGUACAACGUUUGGAUUUUAAAUGGGUAUCAACAGGCAUCAUCCAUCUCUCACUUCCAAAUUCUAUUGAAACUAAUUGGUCCUACGAUUAGCAUUCUAAUGUUGUUCAAGACAUUGGUAUGCUAAUUACUUAAUGAUCUACAUGUUAAUUGGGAAUGGUGAUGGUAGUGGUGAAUUACUGCAUGCGUGGAACGUAGAACAAUGAAUAAGACAGAUACAGAAGAAGGGAAGGAAACUCGGUGGAGGCACUAGCCUAUCAGUUGCACACACUCACGGACAGAGAUCUAUAGUCUGGAAAAAUAAAGGACAAUUGUCACCACCGUUUCGUCUUCUGGGUAUUCAAUGGAGUUCAAUAUUAGUUAUACUCAUUUUAGCAGCCUAUGGUGUAAAAUCUCAAAAUCAUUUUCCCUCACUGUCGUCGACUGAAGAGUGGAAAUUGUAGUCUUUUGGUGGGAAUUCAGCUAUUUUCGGGGAAGAAGAAAUAAGGUUUCUACUGAUUCGGGCUUCUUCCAAGUAUGCGUGGGUUGGUCCUACUACUGGAUACGGCCUAAGGCUGAAUUCCUGUCUUCUUCCGUUUAUGGUUUAUCCUCUUAUUUUAUGUUAUUAAUCAUGCAUUUGUUUCAUAUGAUUACUGGACACGGUAGAUUGGGUUGCUUACAUGUAGAUUUGAAAAUUUUAUCAGUUAAUGUCAUAUGCUGAUUUUGUGAUUAAAUUCCAUCAGUUUAAUAUUGUGAGGAUUUUUGAUUAACCUCAAGUAUUUUGAAAUAUGUGAUGACUUUAUAGGAUUAUUGAAAAUGAUCUUUAAACAGCUCAUAAUAUUUAACUCAUCUCCCCUAUUCAAAUCUGUUCGUUUUGUUUCUCACAUCGCUGCAAUUUGUUUUUGUGCAUUUGCUUAUUUUACCAGUUGUCUGACAUCUUUAACCUUUUUAUGAUUUUGCAAGGUAAGCAUCAACAGAAUAACUUUAACUUCUCAGUUAAUUUUGGGCACAAAAUUAUUAUGAUGUUGAAGAAAUGUGUUGUGCAAAAGAGUCGUUCGAGAUUAUUGAAAUAUAUGAUGUUUAGGUACGUAUUCCUGGGGUUCGGAGUGGUAGUAUUAGUUGGUAGAGGAAUAAAUUUACAGGAAAGAAAAAUGUUGUUGAAGGAUCAUUAAAGCUUAGACACUAAUAGGCUGCUUCGAAAUUUCCGUGAUUUGGAGAGUUAGAGCCAAGAUAGGAUGGAUAUAGUCUGGUUCAGACUGAAAGGUUGACACUAAUAUGCUGAACAUGGUAUUCGACGAUGGUUAGUUGUAUGUAGCACAGCAUUGUUCAAAUUUCUGGAUUUGGGUUUGACUAGGAACCAACCAUUUCUGGAUUGGGUGUAAAUAUUCCCAUUUUUUUACAUGGUUAACCAUGGUGAUUGAGUAUUUAAUGUUCAAAUUAAGUGUAAAUAAAUAUGGGAGAUUUGGUUUAGCAUAGCUAAGUAGUGGCUUGCAACUUUGAGAUUGCAUUUGUGUAGAGUGUUCAUAUGCCGCGUGGAAACAAUGAUCUGAGUAUUGACUGAUAGUCUGAUACAUUCAUAGUAGGAAACUGGCAGCCCAGCUUUUUUUAGAAGGU
Papaver somniferum (opium poppy) is the source of this 1798-nucleotide long non-coding RNA. RefSeq lists it as uncharacterized. The record is from RefSeq and is a predicted model, not a curated record. The transcript is spliced from 6 exons. NCBI's taxonomy places the organism in Eukaryota, Viridiplantae, Streptophyta, Magnoliopsida, Ranunculales, Papaveraceae.